CCUACGGGAGGCAGCAGUGAGGAAUAUUGGUCAAUGGGCGAGAGACUGAACCAGCCAAGCCGCGUGAGGGAUGAAGGUCCAGAGUAUCGUAAACUUCUUUUGUCAGGGAACAAAGUCGUGGACGUGUCCCCGGAUGAAUGUACCUUAAGAAAAAGCAUCGGCUAACUCCGUGCCAGCAGCCGCGGUAAUACGGAGGAUGCGAGCGUUAUCCGGAUUUAUUGGGUUGAAAGGGUGCGCAGGCGGUAUGUUAAGUCAGCUGUGAAAGCCCGGGGCUCAACCCGGGAACUGCCGUUGAAACUGGCAGUCUCGAGUUGGAGAGAGGUAUGCGGAAUGCGCGGUGUAGCGGUGAAAUGCAUAGAUAUCGCGAAGAACUUCGAUUGCGAAGGCAGCAAGCCGGCUCCACACUGACGCUGAGGCACGAAAGCGUGGGUAUCGAACAGGAUUAGAUACCCCUGUAGUC
RNAcentral lists this ribosomal RNA (460 nucleotides) under uncultured bacterium. RNAcentral describes it as "partial 16S ribosomal RNA". It matches the Rfam family "Bacterial small subunit ribosomal RNA", at positions 338 to 795 of the family's 1533-position model. The record is from RNAcentral.